RNAcentral lists this ribosomal RNA (224 nucleotides) under Escherichia coli. RNAcentral's name for it is "partial 16S ribosomal RNA". The record is from RNAcentral. Lineage: Bacteria; Pseudomonadati; Pseudomonadota; Gammaproteobacteria; Enterobacterales; Enterobacteriaceae.
UUAGCUUUAGCUGCCGCAGAUUUUUGUUUCUCUUUUGGCGCAGGAACAGUAGAUAGCGAACAAAAGAUAUCAUAACCUUGGUUUUGGGUAUUAACUGGCAAUUGCUGCUUUUGUUCUUGCACUUUGCCUUCUUUUUCCAUUUGAAGGUAAGUAUCAAAAUCAUCAAUUAUAUUGUUAAAGCGCUCUGCUUUUGGAGCAUGACUAAAAAAAGUCGUAACAAGGUA